UCCGUUCCAGGAAGUGUUGAAACAGGCGCGCGGGACGCUCGAGUCCGAGAUGAACGAGAGUGGAGCUCAGCUGUUGGCCCGUCUGGAGGCCCGCCGCAGCCUGAAGGACAUCGAGCCUCGCUUGUUUCCGGACGGUGGGGGACCGGAGUCCGGUGAGGUGGUGGAGCUGUUUGGGACGGAGGGCACAGGUAAGACGGAGCUGCUGUACCACCUGCUGUGUCGCUGCGUUCUCCCGGAGGCGGCCGGCGGGCUGCAGGUGGACGUGGUCUUCGUGGACACCGACUACAGUCUGGACAUGUUGAGGCUGGUCAGCGUCCUGGACGGUCGUCUGAACGCCGAUGAGGAGGCACUGUCUUCCUGCCUGUCCCGCCUCCUGGUGGUCCACUGCUCCUCAUCCUCCCAGUUGCUCCUCACCCUCCACUUCCUGGAGACGUCCCUGUCGGCGCGGCCCGGCCUAUCGCUGCUCCUCAUCGACAGCAUCUCGGCUUUCUAUUGGCCGGACCGCUCGGCGGGCGGAGCCAGUGUCACCAAGCAGGAGGAGACGCUCACUAAGUGCUCCGAGCUCCUGGGACGACUCCUCAGGGACUACAGAGUCACCGUCUUCACCUCCUGCCACCCCAUCAGGAGGAGUGGCGCCGGCUCGUCCUCGGACUGGGACCGCCCCUUCCUGUGCCGGUCCUGGCAGCGGCUGGUGACCCACCGGCUGCUCUGCUCUCGGCAGGAGGCGGCAGGAGGCGCCGGGGAGCAGAGGAGGCGCCAAGUCUUCAGUGUUCACUGCAACUCCUUCAAGACCAAAACCCAGAGGAGCUCCUGCUUCACUGUGACGGAUGGAGGAGUCCAGUUUCUAUGAGUCCUCUCUCCUCCUUCCUCUCUCCUCCUCCUCCCUCUCUCCUCCUCCUCCCGCUCUCUUCCUCCUCCUCUCUUCCUGCCUCUCUC
This is an RNA transcript of Salarias fasciatus (jewelled blenny), 936 nucleotides long. It is a transcript of the gene named X-ray repair complementing defective repair in Chinese hamster cells 2, with no coding region annotated. The record is from RefSeq and is a predicted model, not a curated record. Lineage: Eukaryota; Metazoa; Chordata; Actinopteri; Blenniiformes; Blenniidae. The transcript has 8 exons.